RNAcentral lists this ribosomal RNA (262 nucleotides) under uncultured bacterium. RNAcentral describes it as "partial 16S ribosomal RNA". It matches the Rfam family "Bacterial small subunit ribosomal RNA", at positions 524 to 776 of the family's 1533-position model. The record is from RNAcentral.
UACGUAGGGUGCAAGCGUUGUCCGGAAUUAUUGGGCGUAAAGAGCUCGUAGGCGGUUUGUCGCGUCGAAUGUGAAAACCCGGGGCUCAACCCCGGGCCUGCAUUCGAUAGCGGGCAGACGUAGAUGGUUCGGUGGAGGGGAGUCGUGGAAAUUCCUGGUGUAGCGGGUGAAAUGCGCAGAUAUCAGGAGGAACACCGGUAGCGAAGGCGGGACUCUGGGCCGAUACUGACGCUGAGGAGCGAAAGCGUGGGGAGCAAACAGG